RNAcentral lists this ribosomal RNA (492 nucleotides) under uncultured bacterium. Its description in RNAcentral is "partial 16S ribosomal RNA". It matches the Rfam family "Bacterial small subunit ribosomal RNA", at positions 29 to 507 of the family's 1533-position model. The record is from RNAcentral.
AGUGAACGCUGGCGGCAGGCCUAAUACAUGCAAGUCGAACGGCCGCAUAGUAAGCGUUCGCCCCUAAGGGUGGCGAGUGACGGACGGGUGACACAUGGAUAGGCUUCUUCUUAUACUGGGGGGACAUCGUAGGGACACAGAUGCUAACACAGAAUAUGUCCAACGGCAGAAAGCAGGAGUUAUACGCACUUUGCCCGUCACUUUGAGACGAUGUCGGAUUAGCUAGUUGGGGGGGUAAGGGCACACCAAGGCGACGAUCCGUAGCUGGUCUGAGAGGAUGAUCAGCCACACUGGAACUGAGACACGGUCCAGACUCCUACGGGAGGCAGCAGUAGGGAAUAUUGGGCAAUGGGCGCAAGCCUGAUCCAGCCACACCGCGUGAGUGAAGAAGGCCUUCGGAUUGUAAAGCCCUUUUAUUAGGGAAGAAAAACAGCGUAUGAAUCUCCGCCUGUUCUGACGGUACCCAAAGAGAAAGCACCGGCUAACUACGUG